UGCCAGCCGCCGCGGUAAUACGGAGGGUGUAAGCGUUGUCCGGAUUUAUUGGGUUUAAAGGGUGCGUAGGCGGUCUAUUAAGUCAGUGGUGAAAGUCUGCGGCUCAACCGUAGAAGUGCCAUUGAAACUGGUAGACUUGAGUACCGUUGAGGUAUGCGGAAUUUAUGGUGUAGCGGUGAAAUGCGUAGAGAUUGGAAAGAACACCGAUGGCGAAGGCACUUUACUGGGCUAUUACUGACACUCAGAGACGAAAGCUUGGGUAGCGAACGGGAUUAGAUA
RNAcentral lists this ribosomal RNA (279 nucleotides) under uncultured bacterium. Its description in RNAcentral is "partial 16S ribosomal RNA". It matches the Rfam family "Bacterial small subunit ribosomal RNA", at positions 506 to 784 of the family's 1533-position model. The record is from RNAcentral.